RNAcentral lists this small RNA (546 nucleotides) under Pongo abelii (Sumatran orangutan). Its description in RNAcentral is "processed transcript". Lineage: Eukaryota; Metazoa; Chordata; Mammalia; Primates; Hominidae. The record is from RNAcentral.
CUAACUUCAGGAGCUCUCCCUCUUCAGCCUACCCAUCUCCUAUUCCUCUGGACCCUGCCUUCUCUCCCCUCCCUUCUCACCACUGGCCCUCACAGACCCCUCCUCACUCUCCUCUUCCAUCCCCUUGGACCUGUCCUCUGUGCUGCCUCCAUCCCCUAUACCUCCUGGGCCACUCCUCCCCGCCUCAGUAUACCUGGUCUUCUUGGAAAAUACCCCAGCUCUUGUGACCUCUACCAUAAUCCUUCACUUUGGGCCUUCUUGCCUAGUGAGAAAGCUGAGGAAGCUCCUCUCUCCACUCCUGCUGCCUGAUUUCCAAGACUCACAUUUUCCCCCUACACGCCCCAAGGCUGGGUGGCUGGGCAGCCGGAUGCCUGGGUCUUGGCCCAGGGAGGGGAUUUGGCUUGGGAGGAGAGUAUAUAGGCUAGAUGAGAGACCCUGAGGCUCCACAGGACCUUGGGGUUCCAGAGGCUGCACAUCUAAUCUCAGCAGGGUCAGUGUGCUGGUGGGAGCACCCAAGGCUAACACCAGCCAGCCAGGAGUGCUGCA